This 72-nucleotide transfer RNA is filed under the name Rickettsiales bacterium. RNAcentral's name for it is "tRNA-Glu". It matches the Rfam family "tRNA". Rfam says of the family: Transfer RNA (tRNA) molecules are approximately 80 nucleotides in length. Their secondary structure includes four short double-helical elements and three loops (D, anti-codon, and T loops). Further hydrogen bonds mediate the characteristic L-shaped molecular structure. tRNAs have two regions of fundamental functional importance: the anti-codon, which is responsible for specific mRNA codon recognition, and the 3' end, to which the tRNAs corresponding amino acid is attached (by aminoacyl-tRNA synthetases). tRNAs cope with the degeneracy of the genetic code in two manners: having more than one tRNA (with a specific anti-codon) for a particular amino acid; and 'wobble' base-pairing, i.e. permitting non-standard base-pairing at the 3rd anti-codon position. The record is from RNAcentral. Lineage: Bacteria; Pseudomonadati; Pseudomonadota; Alphaproteobacteria; Rickettsiales.
GCCCGUAUAGUACAGUGGCCAGUAUAUUGAGUUUUCACCUCAAAGAGCAGGGUUCAAUUCCCUGUACGGGUA